GAUGCAAUUAAUGAGAAUAGCCCUUUGAUAGCGAUGGAUUAUUAAUGUCAGAUUACUAAGUGUGGAAAACUUUUCUCGAACCACCAAUUGCUUGCUCAAUUGGUAUCACACAUUGCCACUUAGUUAAGGUGCAGUGGGGGUUUAAUUCUGGCUGGAUCCACCACCCCAGGGUGGGGUAAAUAUAGUGUAGAACAGGUGGGGAUUAGCCUCUCCUAAUCUCAAAAGAAAAAAAAAAAAGUCUUGAACAGUUAUUGCUAAUUUAUCAACAAAGCCAUGUUCUUUUAAUUAGCAGCUACUUUAGUCAAUUUUAUGAGCGAAAAAAGAAAUAAUUGAUUACGCAUCUAUUAGCAAGGUAUAUCUAGUCAUAAUAUAUCAAACUCUCAUAAAACAACCUUCCAAAUAAACACGAAUUACUGGGAUCCAGUAGACCACUGGCUAAAAUUUAAUACACUCAAGCAGUUUCAAAUUUAAUACGCCCAAGCAGCUUCUCGUCUUGAAGUUGAAUGAACUAGGUAUCUUUCCCUUAAAUGGUUAAGAGGCAUGUGGCACUUCUUUGAUCAACUGGAAUCUCUGCAUUGCCUAGAAGCUAGUAGCAUUCGAAACAUCUCUAUUGCAAAAGAACUUGAAACCAUCUCCCAGAUCUCAAGAUUUCAUUUUAAAAUGUGAAAGAACUGACAACCUAGUUUCUU
RNAcentral lists this long non-coding RNA (689 nucleotides) under Phoenix dactylifera (date palm). RNAcentral's name for it is "long non-coding RNA (PDAC_LNC019401)". Lineage: Eukaryota; Viridiplantae; Streptophyta; Magnoliopsida; Arecales; Arecaceae. The record is from RNAcentral.